RNAcentral lists this ribosomal RNA (428 nucleotides) under Actinomycetes bacterium. RNAcentral's name for it is "Actinobacteria bacterium partial 16S ribosomal RNA". It matches the Rfam family "Bacterial small subunit ribosomal RNA", at positions 355 to 776 of the family's 1533-position model. The record is from RNAcentral. Lineage: Bacteria; Bacillati; Actinomycetota; Actinomycetes.
UAGGGAAUCUUCCGCAAUGGGCGAAAGCCUGACGGAGCAACGCCGCGUGAGUGAUGAAGGUCUUCGGAUCGUAAAACUCUGUUAUUAGGGAAGAACAAAUGUGUAAGUAACUAUGCACGUCUUGACGGUACCUAAUCAGAAAGCCACGGCUAACUACGUGCCAGCAGCCGCGGUAAUACGUAGGUGGCAAGCGUUAUCCGGAAUUAUUGGGCGUAAAGCGCGCGUAGGCGGUUUUUUAAGUCUGAUGUGAAAGCCCACGGCUCAACCGUGGAGGGUCAUUGGAAACGGGAAAACUUGAGUGCAGAAGAGGAAAGUGGAAUUCCAUGUGUAGCGGUGAAAUGCGCAGAGAUAUGGAGGAACACCAGUGGCGAAGGCGACUUUCUGGUCGGUAACUGACGCUGAUGUGCGAAAGCGUGGGAUCAAACAGG